UCCAAACGGUGCCUUAAGAUCUGAGCUCUGUGAAGAAUGAGGCUAUCAGAGAGGUUGGGAUUUCUUCAAGGGUGGUUGCCCCUCUCUGUUUCUUCUUAGCCUAUGAUUUCUGUUUUGCCAUCAGUAAACUAAAAUCCAACAGCCCUUCAUCUUUCAGCAACAACAUUCAGUUCUGGUUAUUGAACCCGGGUUCGAUACCUCUCAUUUAGACAGAAGAAAAAAAAAGGGGUACAUUGAACGGUUGAAUCCGGAUUGUUCACAAAUCCUUGAAAGCCCAAAUCAUGCAAUGUAAGGCACGCAGUCCUUGAAGCUUCAUCUUACUCACUCAAAAUUCGCUCAUAAGCUGAAAAAAUUAGUGCAAUAAAAUACCCAACUCUGUCUAAUAAGCUUCGCACCAUGGCUCCAAGCCUUUGACAGGUAAAGCAUCUCAAAUUUCCCUGAGCUUCUGCUCUCAGAAAAAUCGGAUCGGCAAAACGGCCUAGCACUACUGCUACUACUAUUAUUGAGUUUGCUCACUUUCUCGAUAAGCCCGCUUAUCUGAAGGCUGUGAUGAUGAUUUUAACAUUUUGAGGGGAUCCAUCCAUCUUUCUGGGGUUGGGUCUCUCUCUGUUUUCUAUGUCAAUGUUUUCCUCACGUCACAUUGCAACCGGUUUUGCAGCCAUGACGGUGUCAUUUUCUCUUUCUGAUGCCUUUAAUUGUUGCCGUGAAUUGGUCUGAAAUGGAACUUGUGAGGCCCCGUUUCCCUUUCUGUCACCAUUGUUCUGUAUUCUCUUGGAUGCAAUGAUGAUUUUUCUUAGUUGUGAUUUGAGCAUGGAGGAAAUCGUGGACCCGUAUCUUGGUGGUGCAGCCCUGAUGGCAUGUGAGAUGAGAAGAAUUUAAAGAUGGGUUCUUUCUUCUCUUUCAUGCAACUGGGCUUGUGCGCUACGGCGGCGUCUUUCCUUUCAUUUUUCCCUGAUCAAAAUUAAACAUCUGAGCCUUCUAAGGUUUAUGCUCUGCCAGUGUUUGUGAGCAUUCAAAAACCUUGAAAUUUUAGCUCUCUGAAGAAUGAGGCACCAGAAAGAUGGGAUUUUUUAAAGGGUGGUUGUCCUCUCUGUUUAGCCUGUGAUUUGUUUCGUAUGAAAACCAACAGCCCUUUUACAGCCUCGUUUGGUUGGGACUGUGGAAUGGGAACUGGAAAGGGAAUGCAUUUAUAUAGGGAAAGUGUCUCUAUCACAACUUCCCAUGCGUUCUUUUUUUGUUUCAUAUGUUAUGACAAUGACAAUGAUGAUGAUGAUGCAUUGAAGGUAGUGUUUAUUUAAAGAAAAUGAAAGGCUGUGAUGAUAUUUCUUGUGAGAGCAAGUGAUAUAGGCAUUGACGGUGGAAUCUGACCCGUAUCUUGGCUGGGCAACCUAGAUGGCAUUUUGGGCGAAAACUCCCUUUCUAACAUGCAACUGGUGAUUUGCAGCCAUGGCGGUGUCAUGGCACCAAUGCCAGGUUAAGUAUGGAUCUGAGCCUUGUUUGUGAUGUCUACCUGUUUAAGCCAUAUUUACUGCUAUACAUCUUUUGGCUUUUCUCGUUUUACUGCUAGCUGUAGUUGGAUAGUUAUUCCAGGACGUCUGAAGUUUGAUUCACAAGUCUGAUGAUUGAUGACUCUGAUUGUCAAAAAAUACUUCACUAUUUCAGCACCGUAACUUGUAAUUAUCUUCCAAUAUUCAAUGGACAAACAUGAUAACUUUUUGAAAGCACGCUUGUUUUGUAUGUGGAGUGCGUUUAGUUAAUUAAUUACAUCUCAUGUACUAACAUUCAAUUUUUUGAAGUAAUCUUACGUGAAGGAGUUUGCAUUCCUAUGGUUGAUUGUAGCUGCUGCUGUGAUGUUACGCGAUUAGCUUUUACUUGGUUGCUACAUACAUACGAAGUAAGAAUUUUGACCCAAACUUGAUUUGAACCUCUCCAAUGUUGCCUUGAUGUCAAAGUAAAGAUCUGAGCCAUUUGCUUCAAUGUUUUUUUUAUUUAGGACGAAAAUGUUAAUCACAUAUAAGAUUUUCUUAGAUGUGGUGAUAGCUAUUGCUUCUAGAGCUGUUGCUUGUUCUAACCUGCUUAUUUGCUGCGAAGUCUGAAAGUAUCAGCCUUCUUCUCAAAUUUUCUGCUCAAAAAAUGAAUGAGGCAACAGAGAGAGAUUGGGAUUUUUGUAAGGGUGGUUGCCCACUCUCUAUUUUAGCCAAUGAUUUCCUCACCCAAAUAAACCAACAGCCCUUGUUGUAGCAGGAUCAUGCUAAUCCUUUCUCUGUAUCAUUUCAAUUUCUUACAGUAUCCUUCCACUUCAAAAUAAGCUGUGGUGAAAUGUUUCCAAAGCCAGUAUGGUCAGGCAUUGAGGUGCUGACCAGUGACCCCUAUAUAUUUUUGGCAACCUGGAUGGCAGAAUUGGGGUGGGGGGAUGAGGUUCAUUCUCUUCCCUCUCUCAAAUGCAACCGUUAUUGUAGGAUUAUGCAUUUACUCAUUGUUGAAGCAAGAAAAACUUGCCCCAAUUCUCCCUGUACUCCUUAUUUUUCUCCACUCCUAAACAACACCAAACUAGGCCUUUCUUAAUAUAUGCCAGCAAUAAAAACAUGCCUCAAGAUGGAUAUCAAUGGUCUUCAGGAUAAAGAAGAAUGAGGCAGCAGAGGAUGGGAAUUUGUUAAGGAGGUGGCCCAUCUGGAUGCCAACAAUUUCAUUAUUCACCAUCAGUUAAAGAUGGACGGAACUAACAGCCCUGGUAGAAAAUAAGGGGAUGCCUUAUAAAGCAACAGUGUGUCUUCUCCUGUUCAAAUAAUUGGCUAUGAUGAUGAUGUUUUCUUUAUCUGUGACAUCAAGGUAAAGCUGACCCAUGUCUUGGCAGGGCAACCUGAAUCAUGUGUGAGAUGAGAAGGAUUCGAAAAUGGGUUCUUUCUCACUUGCAUGUAAUUAGGUUUUUGCAGCCAUUGUGGUGUCCUCCUUCCUCUGAUCAAAAGAAUAGAUCUGAGCCAACUUUCUUUACUGUUGCUUAUUUUUGGCUUGCUAGUACUGCCUGCUAUUAUGGAUUCGUUGAAAUUUCAGCUCUAUGAAGAAUGAGGCAUCGAAGAGAUGGGAUUUUUUUGAAGCGCAACCUGGAUGGCAUUUUGGGUCGUGAUGAAUUGCUUUUUAUACGCCCUUUAUGACAUGCAACUGGUGAUUUGCUGCCAUGCUGGUCUCACAGCGUCAAUGCCUGGUCAAAUACGAAUCUGAGCCUCAUUGUCCACACAGUGUCUUGUCUUGAUACGCAUGCGUCUUCUGCUCUACUUGUAUAUUGCAGCGGCUGUGUUUGGAUACUUAAUUUCAUUAGGUUUCGAGUUCAAUUCUCUGGUUUGAUGACUGAUGAGUUUGAUUGGUAAAAAGAGAACAAUUUUUACCAAUGUAAAUUGGAAUCAUCUUUUUAUAUUUACCAGAAAAACAUCUAUAUGGAACA
Molecule: long non-coding RNA, 3439 nt
Organism: Coffea eugenioides
Lineage: Eukaryota; Viridiplantae; Streptophyta; Magnoliopsida; Gentianales; Rubiaceae
Exons: 2
Source: RefSeq, a predicted model, not a curated record